ACCCUUCUCUCCUUUGCAAACCAGUACCAUCAAUGACAAAACCUGUACAGUGGACAGCAAGACUCAAGUGUUUACACUCGUACUAGCAUCGAUGGGAUGAUUCUUUUUCUACGCAUUUCAGGAUUUGUUUUUUACUUUUAGGUUUUGCAGAUGAGAACAUUCUUUAUGACAGAAAUCCUAUGCAGCACAUGUAUGGCUUUUGAAGAGACCAAGGAGCUCAAUAUCCAUCCGUGAUGUAAAUUAAAUGCUAAUCAUGAUUCAGUAUUCAAUUGCAAAAAUAAAAUUUAUAUACAAAGAGCCAUGGCGGGAGGGACAGAAUGAGAAUCAGAUUCUCAAGUGUGUGCAUCUCCUAUUGAAAUACACCCACAAAGCCACGGUAGAGGAAAAGGGACUGUUUCCAGGUCUGUUUCUAGGUGCAGGAUGAGCACGGGUCAGCAGGUGUGAUUCCGGAAACCACAUGCCACACCUUUCUAGUGCCAAACUUUGUUCAAUCACAGAACUGAUACGGUAUUCCCCCAGACUGAGAAUAAGUGGUGUCCCAAAACAGACAAGGAAAGAAUAAUCAGGUUCUUUGCUGUAUACAGACUUACCCUCUUCCCAUCCAAGGUCAAAGCGAUGUGUCUACUAGAGACUUUGGGACACCUUUUAGCAAGUGAGUGCAUACAGAUGCAAAGUGUAUGCUAUCAAAAAUAAAAACUGCCUGGACUGCUUGAGGGCUUACCACUCCAUCAGCUAAGAUUUGUAUGUGAAUCAUCUGUAAAGUUGUGCUCUUACAAGCUUCUGAGUUUUAAAUACCUCCAUACAGCAAGUAAACAUUCCCGCUUUCUGUUCUCGGUGUCAUUGGUCAUGGUGCUUUUUGUUGCAUUAAAAGUGCCGGUCAAACUUUGAUAGUAUUUUUUUAUAGUUGGUGCAGAGUGGAAUAACUCAUGGAUUAUUUCAAUAUUUUUGUAAUAAAAAUAUAGGGUGUACAUAUAGGCAUCGUCGCUUUUUUUAUAGACUUGGAAUUAUUUAAAAUACAUUAAUGUCAUAUUCACUUGGGAUGUCAGAAUCCGGUCUACAAAUCCAUCAGCCUGCCUCAGCAGAUGGAAAACACUUGUCUCUGGCAAGAUCACCUUGCUUUUAGCAAUUUGAUGGCUCUGAGAAUCUGAGCAGGGGUGCUAUCAGAGUUUCAAGUGGAAAGGGAAGUGGCCUAAGUAGAAAGGGCUUGUGAAGACUGGCCAAUGUCUCCCAGGAAAUCAAAGAUGUGAUUUCUUUCACCCAUCCAUUAGAACAACCUGACCACAGUGGAAGAUGUCUUAAACUUCCUUGCCUGGUUUUAUACUAACCCAGCUGAUAUAUUAAAAAUUAGUCAAAUCACAAAAAAAAGGACAGAAGACAGUCAGUUUAAUUUAAGUAUUCACUUAAAAUAGUUAAGAUCCAGAGCCACCACCUGAAAUGGAUGUACCAUCCAAAGACUGUGAUUCCCAAAGUAGCAUCCACAGGGAGAGAGAGGGCUCAACCUGGGACUUCUUUUGGUACAAAGCCCCAAAGUGAUUUUGUAAGACAAAUAAUUUUUAUCAGACAUAUUUCAUAAUUCUCAAUGAUGUGUCCCUUCAAGUGAGAUUUCCACUACAACACUCUAAUCUUUUGUUCAAAUGAAAAAAUAUUACAUUGACACAAUAAAGUUCCAGGAAGACACUUGGCUUCUAGCAAAUGGUGAACACAUCCCAUUCCAGUGUUGAAGAAAAUCAUAAUAAUUUGGGCAGAUACUUCGCUGAUGUGCAGAACCAUGAAUCAUUAACUUCAUUAGUUCCAAGACAACUUUUAACUGAUGAACUCUGAAGACUGACCUUCCCAGGUGGACCUCAGCUUUGACUCUGUGAGCGGAUAACAGUUCCAAUGUAAUAGUGUCCAGCCAAACAACCCAACAGGAUCCACCACUCUUCUAUCAUAAACAUCAUGGAACUUAUCGAGUUUUACUGGAGAUGAAUUGCAGUUAAUUAAUCCAAUAGACGAUUCAAUCUUGCAAAUUCUUGACUUGUAAUAUUGUAAUCAAGCUACUGGAAGAGACGACUCAGUUAAUGGGAAAGGAGAAGUUGGUUCAGCACAAUGCCCUGAUGUGUCCAGGCCUGAAGAGACAGACCUCUGAGAAGCAGAGCUAACGAAAUUUUGUUACCUGGUCCCUCAACAUGAAUGUCAUUAGUGUCCAUGAUAUCCAUCUGCUAUCUUUUUAUUUCCAGUAAGAACUGCUUUAAAAAAAAUCGGCCAAUGAAUUCCUGGGAGCUUUUAUAGCUCAGAGAAAUGGGUAUGGGUAAAGGGACCUACCUGCUUCAAGUGGAUUGAAGCCUACUUGUUUAGAAAUGAAAAAAUGUCUCUGUGAUCUGUGAUUAAUCGAUCUGUCUUGAGUACCUUUGCCACUUUCAAUUUGUUCCAUUUUCAGCAUUAUAAUAACCAAUGUGUGAAGCUUUCAUUUAUUACAAUUCAGCUUCAAAGGUUAAAUCUGCACAGGUGUAGUUAUGGAGAGAUUUGAUGCCUGCCUUGCUAUGUGAUAACAUUGCCAGCCCCAAACCAAUAUCCAUUUCCACAAGGAACCACUAGCCUAUAGCUUCUCAGAUCACAUGAAAUCUUGGUUAAAGAUGACCGACCAAAUGGCCUUAAUGCCUACAUUUUCAUUCAUAAGAAAACAGGACUGCUGAGAGUGUCUAAUCAUGAUCCCUUCCAUUUCUCUCUUUCAAAUAAAGGUGAAAAUGAAGGUGUCAGAAGUUCAGAUAUAGUUUCAGAGUAUGCAAGAGUCUAAUGUGUUUGUGGUCUUGUUGAAUUUUCUAUCCAAUCAUGUGACAUGGGUUUUAGAGGUUAGAUUUAGAUAAAAGAGUGAAAGUCACUAAGUGUAUCCAUUAUGCACUGGAAGGAAAAAAACCAAGAUGGAGCAGGGACCAUUGCGUUCCCUAUAUAAGCAUCUUGGUUGCUCUAUCAAAGAUUUCUCUCAGGCUUCUGAGAGGCAUUCCUGGUCAUCAGCUCUCAUGUCCAAGCAAGUCAUUCCUUAGAACUGUGUCUGUGUAUAACCACUAAAAUAGAAUGAUAGAAAGGCAACCUCCUACCAUGUAACUUAUUCUAACAUGCCAGGCAACCAGAACAAGCAAGUUUAAGGAACUGUUCACGUCCUGAAUCUACAGCCUCCUGUGUAAUGUAUAAGUUGGUUAACUGUAGGGACAUAGGGGCAAUAACAGUCCUCUCUAUCAAGGCUCAGAAAAAAGACCGUAGGAGUAUUGAGCACCAAGACAGAAGAUCUGUACCAAUGUAUAGACCCAAGAAAACCUGUCCAUCACUUGUCAGGACAUUUGCCUAUUUUACAAACUAGACACAUAAACUAAUCUCUGUUGUUCCAUAAUUCUGGCAACUCACAUGUCUUCUUAUGAAAGGACAAGGCCAAGCUAACAUGGAAAGAUGGAGGUGACAUAGGAAACUUCAUAUCAAAACUGGCUCUGUCUAAGAAAACCUUCCUUCCAAUAGUUCUUUUCGAUUAGUGGCCUGUGUAAUGAUCUGUAUAUCAAUAGCUUCUGAUGGAUUAUAAGUCACUCUUGCUUAUGCUUAAAUGCAGACUACUUAAUUAUCUCUCUUUUACUUACAAUAAGAUUCAGGGUUACCAUG
Molecule: long non-coding RNA, 3627 nt
Organism: Rattus rattus (black rat)
Lineage: Eukaryota; Metazoa; Chordata; Mammalia; Rodentia; Muridae
Exons: 2
Source: RefSeq, a predicted model, not a curated record